UCGUGUUGUUGUCUGAUGCAGCUAGCUAGCCAGUAAGCUUGAGUCAACCGAGUGUUAGCUGGCAAACGCCACAUUAUCAUUUAAAUUAUAACAAGUAGUACUAAAUUACUAUUAAGUACUAAAUACCAAAGCGCCUAAAGCAUGAGAAGAGUUACCCUGUUUGUUAACGGGACAUCUAAAAAUGGCAAGGUUGUAGCAGUAUACGGGACCUUGUCAGAUUUACUAUCCGUAGCAAGCAAUAAAUUAGGAAUCAAAGCUGUGUCUUUAUACAAUGGAAAGGGUGGUCUCAUAGAUGACAUUGCCCUUAUAAGAGAUGACGAAGUGUUGUAUGUCUCAGAAGGAGAUCCAUUUAUUGACCCUCAGAAUGAGGCCAAGGUUACAGCUGACCAGCACGGAGCACACACUGAUUGGCUGACCCUUAAUAUUGGUGGUCGUCCCUUCACCACCACCAGGAGCACCUUGGUCAGCAAGGAGCCUGAGAGUAUGCUAGCUCACAUGUUUCGAGAGAAAGAUGUGUGGGGGAACAAGCAGGAUGAGCAUGGAGCGUACCUAAUUGACCGAAGCCCUGAAUACUUUGAGCCAAUUCUCAAUUACCUGAGACAUGGUCAGCUCAUUAUCAAUGAAGGCAUAAAUAUACGAGGUGUCCUCGAGGAGGCUCGGUUCUUUGGAAUUGAGCAGCUUACUGAACAGCUGGAAGCAGCAAUCAAGAACACUCAGCCGGCUGAGGACCACUCUCCCAUUUCCCGCAAGGAGUUUGUUCGUUUUCUUCUGGCAACUCCCACCAAGUCAGAGCUCCGCUGUCAGGGUCUUAACUUCAGUGGGGCGGAUCUGUCCCGACUGGAUUUACGCUACAUCAAUUUCAAGAUGGCUAAUCUGAGCCGCUGCAAUCUGACACAUGCCAACCUGUGCUGCGCCAACCUGGAGCGGGCCGAUCUGUCUGGAGCCAACCUGGACGUAAGCCUGAAAACCUUUUUUCUUGAAAGCAAUAAAUGAUCCACAUGCAGUAUAAACCUCUCUAAAAUCUCACUGUGGGGAAGUGAACGUUACUGUGAGGGUUGGGUGUCAUUCUUGUGAUAUUUUUAUUUGUUGGCUGGUGAACAAUGGACUGCUUUUUCCUCCAUUUUACACCUCCUGCCCUCUCAAUUGUGUGGAGGAAGGGCCCCUAUGUUCUUAAACAUGUUUGCCAAUGGCUCACACCUACUCACAUUCACCCUAUUAAAAAAAGCAAUACUCACAAUGAUUUAUCUACGGAUGAUUUCCUAAAUGUUUUCUUUAAAAGUCUCUAUUUAUUAGUCAAAAACCUAAAGACACUCAGUUGAUUAUGAAAUAAAUCAGAGAAAAGCAGAACAUCUCCGUAUUUGAAAGGAUAACAAAAGGACUUAAAGGACAGCUCUAGUAAGUUUACAUGCAUUCAUUGUAGGGGUGUUUCUCAAUGUGUGCUCUAAUAGAACAUUAUGAGCAGGGGUGCACAUAACUCUUUUGCCCUGGUUCUCAAAGGAGCACCUGGAGAUGUUGCUUGGUGCUCAUCCUUAAAAUGAAAUAAACCAUAACUUUUGUGGGGGUCUUGACUUUAUGUGCCAGACACACGGCACUGAACACACGUGCAGAGGUGAACACAGAACACACAUGCAGAGGUGAACACAAGACAACAUUAGCACGACCAGUAAUCCUACAAGCUGUCAUC
RNA transcript from Notothenia coriiceps (black rockcod), 1684 nucleotides. It is a transcript of the gene named BTB/POZ domain-containing protein KCTD9-like, with no coding region annotated. The transcript has 10 exons. The record is from RefSeq and is a predicted model, not a curated record. Lineage: Eukaryota; Metazoa; Chordata; Actinopteri; Perciformes; Nototheniidae.